AGAUUGAACGCUGGCGGCAUGCUUUACACAUGCAAGUCGAACGGUAACAGGCCGCAAGGUGCUGACGAGUGGCGAACGGGUGAGUAAUGCAUCGGAACGUGCCCAGUCGUGGGGGAUAACGCAGCGAAAGCUGUGCUAAUACCGCAUACGAUCUAUGGAUGAAAGCGGGGGACCAAAGGCCUCGCGCGAUUGGAGCGGCCGAUGUCAGAUUAGCUAGUUGGUGGGGUAAAGGCCCACCAAGGCGACGAUCUGUAGCUGGUCUGAGAGGACGACCAGCCACACUGGAACUGAGACACGGUCCAGACUCCUACGGGAGCAGCAGUGGGGAAUUUGGACAAUGGGCG
RNAcentral lists this ribosomal RNA (344 nucleotides) under uncultured soil bacterium. RNAcentral's name for it is "bacterial SSU rRNA". It matches the Rfam family "Bacterial small subunit ribosomal RNA", at positions 26 to 377 of the family's 1533-position model. The record is from RNAcentral.